AGCGAACGCUGGCGGUAGGCCUAACACAUGCAAGUCGAACGGCAGCACAGUAAGAGCUUGCUCUUACGGGUGGCGAGUGGCGGACGGGUGAGGAAUACAUCGGAAUCUACUCUUUCGUGGGGGAUAACGUAGGGAAACUUACGCUAAUACAGCAUACGACCUACGGGUGAAAGCAGGGGAUCUUCGGACCUUGCGCGAUUGAAUGAGCCGAUGUCGGAUUAGCUAGUUGGCGGGGUAAAGGCCCACCAAGGCGACGAUCCGUUGCUGGUCUGAGAGGAUGGUCGGCCGCACUGGAACUGAGACACGGUCCAGACUCCUACGAGAGGCAGCAGUGGGGAAUAUUGGACAGUGGGCGCAAGCCUGAUCCAGCCAUACCGCGUGGGUGAAGAAGGCCUUCGGGUUGUAAAGCCCUUUUGUUGGGAAAGAAAAGCAGCGGGUUAAUACCCCGCUGUUCUGACGGUACCCAAAGAAUAAGCACCGGCUAACUUCGUG
RNAcentral lists this ribosomal RNA (492 nucleotides) under uncultured bacterium. RNAcentral describes it as "partial 16S ribosomal RNA". It matches the Rfam family "Bacterial small subunit ribosomal RNA", at positions 29 to 507 of the family's 1533-position model. The record is from RNAcentral.